This 116-nucleotide ribosomal RNA is filed under the name Temu cruckshanksii. RNAcentral describes it as "Blepharocalyx cruckshanksii partial 18S ribosomal RNA". The stretch from base 1 to 85 matches the Rfam family "Eukaryotic small subunit ribosomal RNA", at positions 1747 to 1831 of the family's 1831-position model. The record is from RNAcentral. Lineage: Eukaryota; Viridiplantae; Streptophyta; Magnoliopsida; Myrtales; Myrtaceae.
GCGAGAAGUCCACUGAACCUUAUCAUUUAGAGGAAGGAGAAGUCGUAACAAGGUUUCCGUAGGUGAACCUGCGGAAGGAUCAUUGUCGAAUCCUGCCCCAGCAGAAUGACCAGAGA